RNAcentral lists this transfer RNA (76 nucleotides) under Patescibacteria group bacterium. Its description in RNAcentral is "tRNA-Met". It matches the Rfam family "tRNA". Rfam says of the family: Transfer RNA (tRNA) molecules are approximately 80 nucleotides in length. Their secondary structure includes four short double-helical elements and three loops (D, anti-codon, and T loops). The record is from RNAcentral.
AGCGGCGUAGAGCAGUAGUCAGCUCGGAAGGCCCAUAACCUUCAGGUCGUCGGUGCAAAUCCGUCCGCCGCAACCA